This 73-nucleotide transfer RNA is filed under the name Dipodomys ordii (Ord's kangaroo rat). It matches the Rfam family "tRNA". From Rfam's summary of the family: Transfer RNA (tRNA) molecules are approximately 80 nucleotides in length. Their secondary structure includes four short double-helical elements and three loops (D, anti-codon, and T loops). Further hydrogen bonds mediate the characteristic L-shaped molecular structure. tRNAs have two regions of fundamental functional importance: the anti-codon, which is responsible for specific mRNA codon recognition, and the 3' end, to which the tRNAs corresponding amino acid is attached (by aminoacyl-tRNA synthetases). tRNAs cope with the degeneracy of the genetic code in two manners: having more than one tRNA (with a specific anti-codon) for a particular amino acid; and 'wobble' base-pairing, i.e. permitting non-standard base-pairing at the 3rd anti-codon position. Lineage: Eukaryota; Metazoa; Chordata; Mammalia; Rodentia; Heteromyidae. The record is from Rfam by way of RNAcentral.
GGGAAGGUGGCAGAGUGGUAGAGUGCUUGCCUUGCAUGCAUGAGGCCCUGGGUUCAAUUCCCCAGUGAUACCA